CUACGGGAUGCUGCAGUGAGGAAUAUUGCACAAUGGGGGGAACCCUGAUGCAGCAACGCCGCGUGGAGGAUGACGCAUUUCGGUGCGUAAACUCCUUUUAUAUGUCAAGAAAAUGACGGUAGCAUAUGAAUAAGCACCGGCUAACUCCGUGCCAGCAGCCGCGGUAAUACGGAGGGUGCAAGCGUUACUCGGAAUCACUGGGCGUAAAGGACGCGUAGGCGGGUUGGAAAGUCAGGUGUGAAAUCCUACAGCUUAACUGUAGAACUGCACUUGAAACUUCUAAUCUAGAGUAUGGGAGGGGGAGAUGGAAUUAGUGGUGUAGGGGUAAAAUCCGUAGAUGUCACUAGGAAUACCUAAAGCGAAGGCGAUCUCCUGGAACAUUACUGACGCUAAGGCGUGAAAGCGUGGGGAGCAAACAGGAUUAGAUACCCUCGUAGUC
RNAcentral lists this ribosomal RNA (439 nucleotides) under uncultured bacterium. RNAcentral describes it as "partial 16S ribosomal RNA". It matches the Rfam family "Bacterial small subunit ribosomal RNA", at positions 339 to 795 of the family's 1533-position model. The record is from RNAcentral.